Long non-coding RNA from Esox lucius (northern pike), 961 nucleotides. RefSeq lists it as uncharacterized. The record is from RefSeq and is a predicted model, not a curated record. The transcript has 3 exons. NCBI's taxonomy places the organism in Eukaryota, Metazoa, Chordata, Actinopteri, Esociformes, Esocidae.
CGCUAGCGCCAUUUUGAAAUAAGGGCGAGUACGGUUCGGUAAAACUAGGACAAAAUAACCGCAACGUCAGACAGUGAGUAUGUCCUUUUGUGUACCGGGUGAAGACGACCGGAGUAAUGGCUUUCAUUGUUUAUGCGUUGUUCCAAAACUUUGUCUGAACUGGUUCUUUAAAACGAGCAGGGAUGUAAGGGGUGCCAUAUCAGGAUCAAUGUCUCCGCCCCUACUGCGGAAAACUCGUCCUGGAGAUAGCAAGUGUCAAGGGGAAUCCACAACAUCACCACAAACAUCUUUUCAAGCCAGGACUGGAGUGGGGGCUGAACUCAAGGGGCGAAUGUGAUUGGACCAUACCUGAAAAGUGAGACAGUGAUUGGCCCGUGGUAUUUGAGACAAAGCCCUAUCUUUUCCAUUUAUUUUUUGUGUGUCUUCCUGAUAAUUGAGACAAGCGUCGACUGGGAUUGGCUGACGGAUCUAUCAGUCGUUUCAGAAUACUGAAACAAUUGAGAGAGCGGAACGUUCUCAACCGAAUAAAACAACGAUUCUACAUUAUUGAAUUAACAUAUUUACUGAUUCUAAUACAUAACAUUAAGCCUCCUUAAGACCUGCAGGGGGAGAACGGGGCACUGGGCGCAACUCCUCCUGAUCACGUGGCUUAACAUACUUAAACCCUGCAUUUCAGUUACACAUACCUCGAAUUUGCACGAUUGCACACUCAGAACUGCCAUUUGUACAUGCGUUUGCCUCAACUACUCACUUCCCACUUUUACAUACAUUAUACAAUAUACCUAAUACCCUCCCCUGUUUGACCUUAUGGCUCAUUUAGAUUUGCCAUUUGCACUGUAUAUGCAUUGCACAUCUAUACUUUCAAGUUUUCAUGGUUCAUUUGUCAAAUGCACCGAACAACACAGUACAAUGAAAUUCCUUUGACAUGGCACCUGACUAUGGAGGACCAACCCUGCUAAAA